GGACUACCAGGGUAUCUAAUCCUGUUUGAUCCCCACGCUUUCGCGCCUCAGCGUCAGUUACCGGCCAGAUGGCCGCCUUCGCCACCGGUGUUCCUCCUGAUAUCUACGAAUUUCACCUCUACACCAGGAAUUCCACCAUCCUCUCCGGCACUCCAGCCACGCAGUUUCGAGUGCAAUUCCACCUUUAAGAGGUGGGCUUUCACACCCGACAUGCGCGGCCGCCUACGCGCCCUUUACGCCCAAUAAUUCCGAACAACGCUAGCACCCUCUGUAUUACCGCGGCUGCUGGCAC
This 292-nucleotide ribosomal RNA is filed under the name uncultured bacterium. RNAcentral describes it as "partial 16S ribosomal RNA". The record is from RNAcentral.